CAGGCAUACCUGUUUCUCCAGGAUUUGCUGCUGUGAGAAAAUCCUGAUUAGUUGUUUUUACGGAAAAACUGGAAAUGAUUUGCUUGUGCGCUCCUUGAGCGCUAUUGUACGCAGGUUUGUGAAAGGGAAUUGCCCCUUCCUUUGAGGUUACGGGUGUCUCCGCAUUUGUUGGUAGCAGUGAACUGAGGUUUUCGAAAACCAAGAUGAAUCCCCUGACCUUGCUCUUACACUGCAGGCUUCAAACGCCAUCAGUUCAAUGUGUUGCUGUAUUUUCUGACUCGCCAAGUACAGUGCGAUGGUGCUACCGCUUCGCGGUGAACAAAGGGGCUCCUCUAAAAUACGCCUUCCCGUUGAUGCCCUUAUCGUGGCUGGUCUGCGCUCAGCCGCCCGCUCAGACGGCACCUUCCUGUGCAGUCCUCUGACUUCUGCUCGAACGCGAGUGAGACGUGUUGCUGUAUGGAACAUUUCUGUUAUCGAAAGACUUCUCAGCCCCUCUGCAUGCUGGUUUGUACAACUUUGCAGCUGAGUGAAGAGCAGACACAAGUGGAUUCUUGGCACAAACAUCUCAGACAAAUGAAAGUAAAAUGUAUAUUCAAGCUGUCUGCUGUUGUAUAUUUUACCCCAUACCUGUCUUUAUGCCUGAUCUCAAAUGGACUUAAUGGUUUAAUUUGUAAGCUUUUUGAGUGAGACCUGUUGUGUUUAAACUUCUUGGUAAAAUGAGCGUAACCCAUGUAAUGGCAUGAUUAAUAGGGAGUAUUACCAAAUUGUAAUUUGCAAAUUAAUGGUUUAACUCUUAGAUUAAACAUACAGCUGUGUUCUUGUGUAAUGUUACAAGACAAAAUUAGAUCACGUAUUUAAAAACAGAAGGACCUAAUCCAAAAUCAGUGGGUAUCUUCCCAGGGACUUCACUAAGCUUUGCAUUAGGCCUUUUCCUCACUGUAAUGAGGGUGCAGAUAUGUAACAUGCGCAAAGUUACUCAAAUGUGCAUGCAUCCGCAAGAACAGGCUGUUAACAUCUAAACUACCGGAGAUACCAAUAUGUUAGGAGCAAAAUAAUGAAAUUACUUGUUUCCAUGGUGGUAGUGACUAAGGCCACCUAAGUGAUGUUUGGGUUCAGUUUGUACCUGGCAGACUAAUCUAAGUGAUGCUGCUGUGCAUAUAUAUAUUUGAGUACUUGCAAAAUUAUAUAUGAAUUUUUAAAGGAGGAAGUAUUUGGGAGCUGGGCUCAGCUUUGUUGCGAUUUGCCCUUGUGCUUUCCUUGACUGUUGCUAACAAGAAGUGCUGGCCUAAAUCAGUGUCUUAGAGAAUCAUCGAUUCGCUAAUUGCAGAUAAUCAAGUCUCUGCUCCCUGCUCAUGCUGAGACCACUUUUGUUUUCUGCUGCUCCACAAGGAUUCGGGCAGAGUCCUCCAGUGUUUGACGUAACCAAUAAAGUGGGUUUUGAGCGCCCGUAUUGUUAAUUC
This 1460-nucleotide long non-coding RNA is filed under the name Apteryx owenii (little spotted kiwi). RNAcentral's name for it is "lncRNA (ENSAOWG00000014490.1)". Lineage: Eukaryota; Metazoa; Chordata; Aves; Apterygiformes; Apterygidae. The record is from RNAcentral.